RNAcentral lists this long non-coding RNA (2835 nucleotides) under Pan troglodytes (chimpanzee). RNAcentral describes it as "long non-coding RNA NONPTRT009160". Lineage: Eukaryota; Metazoa; Chordata; Mammalia; Primates; Hominidae. The record is from RNAcentral.
GGCUCCCUAAUCUGAGAGAUUUGCAACUUUUUGUUUUGUUUUGUUUCAUUUUUUUUCUGAGACAGGAUCUCGCCCUGACACCCAGGAUGUAGUUCAUUGAUGCUAUCAUAGCUCAUUGCAGCCUUGAACUCCUGGGCUCAAAAGAGCCUCCUGUCUCAGCCUUCCCAAGAGCUGGGACCACAGGCAGGCACCACCGUGCCCAGCUAUUUUUUAUUUUUGUGUAGAGAUGUGGUCUCACUGUGUUUCCAAGGUUGGUCUCAAACUCCUGGCCUCAAGCUGUCCUCCCACCUUGGCCUCCCAAAGCACUGGGAUUACAAAUGUGAGCCACUGUGUCUAACCACAAGAAUUAUUAAAAGGAAUUUUACUUAAGUAUCUACUUCCAGAUCUUUCCAUGUUUCUUUACUAGCUACAAAAUAAAAGAAUUACCCCAUCAGCCUCUGUAGGGUAAGAUGAAUUGUGUGGAAUGGGUAUGAAAUGAAGGAUAGUUAGAUGUAGAAGGUAAAACAAAAGGAAUCAGCUUUUUGUGUCUGUGACAGAGGAUCUGAUACUUGAUGGUCUGACCACAAGGCAUCGCUCAGAAAUCAGCAGUCCUUUUCACCCAGUGAACAGCCAGCUGCUUUGAGCAGAGAGAGCUGUGGUUGGAACUCCUGCUCUGUGACUCAGGGGAGGAGGCAGAGCUUGCCGCAGAAUGCAGCCACUGCCCACAGCCCCUGUGCACUCCCUUUUCCCUUGUGCUGGCUUCCCGCUGCCAGCAUCUGCAAGUCUCUGCCUGGAGGUGAGCAGGAGGGUGCUGGGCCCGUUAGACAAGUGGCUAGGGCUGGGGAGUUCAUGGUCUUCACGCAGUUUCAGGUGGAGGUUGCAGGAUAUAUGGCCCAGCUUCCUGGCCCCAGGUGGAACAACCCUGAGACAUGUUCGCCAUUUCCCACAGGCCCCCAGUGGGACUGAGUCCUAGUUGUCUUCAGUGGCAAUCUUCUCAUUACCACCUCUCGUGUUGAUUUUUUUUCCCUUCACUUUCUCAUUUUUCCAUUUCCUUGUUGGUCCCAAUUAACUACUUGCACAUGAAUCUUUGUCUCAGGGUCUGCAUCUGGGGGACCCCAAAGACAGAGACACUUGAGCUCUUACUCUGCCUUUAUCUUAGACCUAGCAUUGGUCUCCAGAGGUCACUCAUGACUUAAGGGCCUAUCUUAAUGGCCUCUUUCCCCAUGUGUUCCUUGGGAAUGUCCAUUGUUGAUGCAUCUUUCUGUACUAAGUAGAGUUUUGGGCUGCAAGGAGGCAGUUAGCACAGGGAACUAUGUAGUGAGGGACAUGGAGACUAAACAGCAGCUGGCCCAUCUCUCUGGUUUCUCAUGGCCAAGCCUGGGACACACAGCUGCCCUCGUGCAGGUCCAGAACUAUGGCACUUGUUCCCUCAGGACCCAUCCUCAAAGCCAGUGACUUGGUCUUUUCCUAUGACAAAGGAGCUCCCAGAAUGUGGCAGUCCCCCUUCCUAGAGGGAGAAUCUGACUGGGUCAGGGAGGCACCUCCGGUUUGCAGAGCCCCCAUUGGUCAGGUUCAGUUUCCAAAACACCUGAGGGGCAAGUGGCUUCUCGAAGUCCAGCCCACAUGGUUACUUUUGACUUGGACACUCAAGGCACAGGGACACAUGACACAGGCACAGGGUGUGACAACUGCAUGCAGAAAGAGCCACUCUCAUUCCUCAGAAGAGGCUGUGGAGAUGAGUGGCUGAGCCAUGUGCCCCAAAAUUCAUGUUGAAGUCCUAACCCCCAGUAUCUUAAAAUGUGACCGUAUUUAGAGAUAGAACCUUUAAAGAGCUAACUGGGUUAAAAUGAAUUCAUUAGGGUAGGCCGUACUUCAGUAUGACUGCUGUCUUUAGCAGAAGAAGAAAUCAGGGUACAGACACGCAGAGGGGAGGGCAUGUGAGGACAUGGGAAGGAAAUGCCACUUGCAAGCCAAUGAGAGAGGCCUCAGAAGAAACCAGCCCUCCUGACACCUUGAUCCUAGACUUCCAGCCUCCAGAACUGUAAGAAAAUACAUUUCUGUUGUUUAAGCCACAUGGUCUUAGAGUUCUAUCUUGAAUUUCUCUCUGCUUCAGACUUUUCUGUUUUGUUUUUUAGCCUAAAUCCUAUUGAAAAGAGCAGAGAAGAUAGAGUGCAGGCCCCUAGAGACAGGAUGGAACGAAACACGCAGUGUGUGUCUGUGUCCUGCUCAGCAUACGCUCUUGGUCCCCACUGGGCCAUCUCGCUGCUGACUGGCAUCCCGAAGAACAGGCAGAUUGCACAGGGGCAGCUCUUUCCUCCAAAGCUGCAAUGUGAUGCAUGAAGUCCUCAGAUUUGGGAACUCAUACAGGCACUUGAGCUCAAACAUACAGUUCUGAUCUAAGACAUCACAGGGUCAUGGUGGAGCUGUUUCAGCUGCAGGUGGUAUUCCACCAUUUGGUCCUCCCUGAUGUCUCCUGGCACCUUUCCUUCUUCAGUCUCACCACUCUGAAGAAGCGUGCUUGUAAGCGCCGCGGGACGAUCCAGGACGUCCAGGAUUGUGGACGAUCCUGUUCUUCCCAUCUGUGAGGGCCUGGAUUACAGUUCCUCAAGCUUUGGGAUACAAACGAAUCACCUGGGAUUUGGAUAAAAUGCAGAUUCGUGUUCAGCAGCCCUGGCAUUCUGCAUUUCUCAUGAGCUCCAGGAAGAUGCUGGCGCUGCUGGGGCAGGACCACACUUUGGGUGGCAAGGGCUUGGCAGGCAAUUCCAGGUGUCACCCUAGAGAUGGCCUGCUAUUGCACUGUCAGUAGGUAGCUGCCACAGUGACGGCCGCUCCAGAUCAAGGGGAGAACCUUUUGAA